CCUGUAUAAAAAUGAGUGGAUGGUACCAAAGGAUGUAUAUAAAAAUAUUUGGUGCAUAUAAAAAUAAAUGUAGAAAAAAUAAUCCGGUAUUGGCUUCAGAGAAAGUUAUUCCAAAUGUCUAUAUAGAAUCCAGUACGGGAUCGAAAGUUAUUGUGAUUGCUGGCACUUGUAGUGCUGCCUGUAAUGAUAUUAUUUCUUCUUAUUUUCCUGUUGGGUGGCAGCGUUCUUGGUGUAUACCAAGGGAUCCUCCUUAUUGUAGGUAAAUGUUGCAACAGGGUAUGUGCUGCCUCUAU
This is a long non-coding RNA of Bufo bufo (common toad), 293 nucleotides long. RefSeq lists it as uncharacterized. The record is from RefSeq and is a predicted model, not a curated record. NCBI's taxonomy places the organism in Eukaryota, Metazoa, Chordata, Amphibia, Anura, Bufonidae. The transcript is spliced from 2 exons.